Molecule: ribosomal RNA, 250 nt
Filed under: uncultured bacterium
Lineage: Bacteria
Description: partial 16S ribosomal RNA
Rfam family: Bacterial small subunit ribosomal RNA
Source: RNAcentral
UACGGAGGGAGCUAGCGUUGUUCGGAAUGACUGGGCGUAAAGGGCGCGUAGGCGGUUUUUUAAGUGAGGCGUGAAAGCCCUGGGCUUAACCCAGGAGGUGCGUUUCAUACUGGAAGACUUGAGUGCGAGAGAGGAAAGUGGAAUUCCUAGUGUAGAGGUGAAAUUCGUAGAUAUUAGGAAGAACACCUGUGGCGAAGGCGGCUUUCUGGCUCGCAACUGACGCUGAGGCGCGAAAGCGUGGGGAGCAAAC